CCAACGGCCCUUAUCAGGGCCAUCCAAAUUUCUCAAAGAGAAAUAA
Molecule: regulatory RNA element, 46 nt
Organism: Lottia gigantea (owl limpet)
Lineage: Eukaryota; Metazoa; Mollusca; Gastropoda; Lottiidae
Rfam family: Histone 3' UTR stem-loop
About the family: The mRNAs of metazoan histone genes lack a poly-A tail.
Source: Rfam